Dictyocaulus viviparus (bovine lungworm) is the source of this 73-nucleotide non-coding RNA. Lineage: Eukaryota; Metazoa; Nematoda; Chromadorea; Rhabditida; Metastrongylidae. The record is from Rfam.
GCCUCGGUAGUGUAAUGGAUCAGCACGGCAGACCGGAUAUCUGUGAGUGCGGGUUUGAGUCCCGCCUGAGGUU